UACGUAGGGUCCGAGCGUUGUCCGGAAUUACUGGGCGUAAAGGGCUCGUAGGUGGUUUGUCGCGUUGUUCGUGAAAACUCACAGCUUAACUGUGGGCGUGCGGGCGAUACGGGCAGACUUGAGUACUGCAGGGGAGACUGGAAUUCCUGGUGUAGCGGUGGAAUGCGCAGAUAUCAGGAGGAACACCGGUGGCGAAGGCGGGUCUCUGGGCAGUAACUGACGCUGAGGAGCGAAAGCGUGGGGAGCGAACAGG
This 253-nucleotide ribosomal RNA is filed under the name uncultured bacterium. RNAcentral describes it as "partial 16S ribosomal RNA". It matches the Rfam family "Bacterial small subunit ribosomal RNA", at positions 524 to 776 of the family's 1533-position model. The record is from RNAcentral.